GGUCCCUAUCUGCCGUGGGCGCUGGAGAACUGAGGGGGGCUGCUCCUAGUACGAGAGGACCGGAGUGGACGCAUCACUGGUGUUCGGGUUGUCAUGCCAAUGGCACUGCCCGGUAGCUAAAUGCGGAAGAGAUAAGUGCUGAAAGCAUCUAAGCACGAAACUUGCCCCGAGAUGAGUUCUCCCUGACCCUUUAAGGGUCCUGAAGGAACGUUGAAGACGACGACGUUGAUAGGCCGGGUGUGUAAGCGCAGCGAUGCGUUGAGCUAACCGGUACUAAUGAACCGUGAGGCUUAACCUU
This 298-nucleotide ribosomal RNA is filed under the name Escherichia coli. RNAcentral's name for it is "partial 23S ribosomal RNA". It matches the Rfam family "Bacterial large subunit ribosomal RNA", at positions 2633 to 2925 of the family's 2925-position model. The record is from RNAcentral. Lineage: Bacteria; Pseudomonadati; Pseudomonadota; Gammaproteobacteria; Enterobacterales; Enterobacteriaceae.